This 907-nucleotide long non-coding RNA is filed under the name Oryza brachyantha (malo sina). RNAcentral's name for it is "long non-coding RNA (OBRA_LNC003306)". The record is from RNAcentral. Lineage: Eukaryota; Viridiplantae; Streptophyta; Magnoliopsida; Poales; Poaceae.
CUGCCUGAAACAGAUUUUCCAUUCCAUCAAAUGCAGAACUGCAGAUGGGAUUAUUGAGAAGCACAGUAAUAUGGUACUAAUCAUCAUCAUAUAGGUAGGGGAGCAGUACUCCAGUAACAAUGUGCUGCAGAUCAAUGCAGACAAUAAUACUACAAAACACCAUACUGUAGCAAGUAAUAACACUACAAAACGCCACACUGAUCGAGUACUGACACUGUCAAGUAGCCAUCUCAAGCUCUACACCUCUCUCUCUCUCUCUCUCUCUACAGCUGCAAUGACAAACAGUAACAGUGGCAGUGGCCCUCUGACAAGGUGGCCCCACCGCCCCCCUCAGACCAAGGCCGGGCCCGCCGUCAGUGACAGCAGCAUCAGCACCGCCGCGACCCCCACCGCCUUGUAGCUGUACCCUCGCGCGCCCGCGUCGCUCUGCAGGUGGGCCCCACGGCUCAGUCACACAUAGAGGCAGUACUAAUAAUAGUUAAACGGCAUAAAAGAGUACUAGUAAUAAUAAUAUGUACUGUAAAAGGAAUAAAUGAAUUUAACCGGAGUUAUUAUUGGGCCACUCCAUGGGUCCCACGUGUCAUCGGAACGGGGCUGCCGAUGCGGGCCGGGGCCCACGUAGCAUCGAUUCUUUUUUGACCCGACGCGCACUCGCUGACACGCGGGACCCACCACCCGCGCUUCGAUAUCCCCGCGCCGCGCGCGGGGCGGACGCGAGGUGGAGGCCAUGCAAUCUGGUUGACCGCGCCGCGUUUGGAAUCCGACGGCCCAGAUCGACUCGCUUCGUCUCAUCAACGGUCCCGAUGCACCGUGCGUGCGUACGUACGUGCAUGCGUAGUAGUAAUGGUGCGGGGAUACGUACCGACAUGUCGGCGGCGGAGGGGCCGGGGCCGGGGGCGAGGCCGCN